CCCACAAGUCCCCUCAAAACCCCAGAACAACACAGUGCUCAUUAUCGAUUUUAGACAAAAAUCCCAAAAUCCCCACAAAAUCCAGACUCAAGUUUCUUCGUAUGAAAAAUAUAGGGCAUAAAAAACCAUCGUUAACCGGUAAAUCAUUCAAUAUCGACUUUGGUGUUUCGAAUUGAUAAUUAUUCUUCCUUUGCAGACUAUUUCUUGAAGCUUGUUGCUUUAGUUUGCAUCAUUAACGGUAAGAUCUAUUCCGUCCUUUUAUUUUUCUAUUGAUAUAUUGGUAUUCGAUUCGAGUUUUGAUGCAUUUAUUUUUUCUUUUCUUCUCAAUUUUUUUUUUUUUUUUUUUUGACAUUUUAAAGUUCUCAAAUGAUUAUGAAGCUUUAUUAGUUUCUGCUAGUAUAAAUGGAGAAGGAAUAGCAAAAGCUAGAGAUAUAACUAAGGAUUUUAAAUGUGCAAUUCAGCGUAUGGCAAUGGGUUUGGGAUAUAAUGAGGUUCUUUUCCUUUGUGAAUUUUGUUAUUUUUCAAUCAAUGUGAUAUCAGUCAGAUUUUUUGCUAUAUUUUUCCAUUGACCAUGUAUGUGAUGGCUUAAGAUUGGAAUUUAAACCUUUUUCAACACAAUUAUAAAUACUUUGUGAGGUUUAACAGUCAAGUGUUGUUUUGGGUAAAAUGCUAUGUGGAUUUUUUUUGUUUGUGAAAUGCUAUGAAGAUUCUCUUAGGUGACCUUUCUUUAUUUCUUCGGUCAUGGUAUACAGAGUUGAUUAUAAAACCUUCUUUAUGUUCUAUUUGCUGCACUAUAGUUUUGUUUUUUGAAGAUAAAUACCGCAAUGUGAUUACUUAUUAGAAUGGGCAUCUAAAUAUCGUGUUUAUUUGCUUACCAUGGUGAAGUGUUGUUCUGGUAUUUUGAUUAGAUACUAUUGGACAUGCCUUAGAGUGAAUAUGAUAUCUGCUUUUAUAGCUAGUGUCAAAAUUUCUACUAAUAGUUGGUAUUAUGCCUUUGCUUACUACAAUUAGUGAUGAGGAAUACUAGUUUGUUUUUACUUAGCUAUUGCUUACUGUAAUAUGUUUAAUACUAGUACUUAAGCAGGAGUUGGUUGUUUUUAAUAUCACAUUUUGAAGAUUUCCAAGUCACGACAUGGAUCUGUAAUACUGAGGUUUUUGGAAUACUUUGGAUAGACUCGGGCAUCAAUGCACUCUAGGUGUUCGUGUAAAUGUUGAAAUCAAGAGCAAUAAUUCCAGUGUCAUCCAAAGUCCUACAAAGAUCAUUGAAUUUAAUGGAGAUGGAAGUGGUCCUUACCAAUAGAUAUUUCAAUACUGGGUCAUUUUCUUUCUGUCUUUAUUUCCAUGUAGCUUCCUCUUAUUAGAAGUGGUGAUUGUAUUUAAUCACACACUUUGAAGCUUUCAAUUUAGUUUGUCUUCUUGAAAAAUUAUCAAAUCACAGUUAUGGUAGCUAUGAUGUUCAUGGCAUGAUCAUUUUGAAGCUUUCAAUCUAGUGGUCCUUCUUGGCGUGUUCAUGACUACCGAUGUUUACCAGGUUCAUGUCAUCGAGCAGACCAACUAGUUCAAAAAGAUGUACAACUUAAUCCUAUGUGACAUGAUAUAUAGCUUGCAAAAAAUGGUCAUUCCCUACAGAUGGGGGAUAUUCCUUCAGAAGUUCACUUAGAUUUUGUUAUUAUUUCGUGUUCAUGUGGUUUUCCGUAUUUAAACGAAUAUUUAUGCCUAAUAUUACUCGAUGAAUUUUGUCUCGAAUGGGGAUUCUACAACUAUAUUUAAAUGAAUAAGGAUUUUGAACAUAUAAAUGAUGAAGAGGGUUGGUUACCUGUUUCUUAAUGGGGUUACUGCUGGAGCAUAGUUGUUUGAACAGGUAGCAGAUUGGUCUCCAUUAGUUGAUAGAACUUAAAUGAGGAGCAAAGAGCCUAUUGGCAAUGUGAUUAGGUUUGAACCUUAUAAUGUAAAUAAUUGAUACUCAUGAAGUUCUUUUUGAUGAUUUUGCUAUUGUAAUUGGAAAUAUGUUUGAAAAUAAAAUUCUUGAACUUGAG
This 2036-nucleotide long non-coding RNA is filed under the name Olea europaea subsp. europaea. Lineage: Eukaryota; Viridiplantae; Streptophyta; Magnoliopsida; Lamiales; Oleaceae. The record is from RNAcentral.